Ailuropoda melanoleuca (giant panda) is the source of this 7072-nucleotide long non-coding RNA. RefSeq lists it as uncharacterized. The transcript is spliced from 4 exons. Lineage: Eukaryota; Metazoa; Chordata; Mammalia; Carnivora; Ursidae. The record is from RefSeq and is a predicted model, not a curated record.
AGCAGGCUCACAGCAGAGGAGCCUGAUGUGGGGCUCAAUCCCAUAACGCCGGCAUCACGCCCUGAGCCGAAGGCAGAUGCUUAACCGCUGUGCCACCCAGGCGCCCCUGUUCCAGAAUUUUUUAUCAACUCAGGCAGAAGCUCUGUACCACUAAGUGAUGAUUCCUUACCCCCUCCUCCCCACAGCACCUGGUCACCCCUAACCUACCUUCUGCCUCUAUGAAUGUGUCUGUUCUAGAUAUUUCAUGUAAGUGGUAUCAUAUGGUAUUUUUCCUUUUGUGUCUUGUUUGUUUCACUUCACAUAAUGUUGUCAAGGUCCAUUUGUGUUAUAGCAUGUCUGAGGACUUUCUUCCCUUUUAUGGCUUACUAGCAUCCCACUGCAUGCACAUGUUACAUUUUUAUCCAUUUAUCUGUCGACGGACACUUGGGUUGCUUCCAACCCUUGACUAUUGUGAAUAAGGCUGCUGUGAACAUUGGCAUACAAGUGUUUGAGGCCCUGUUUUCAAUUCUUUGGGUUAUAUACCUAGGAGUGGAAUUGAUGGGUGGUACGGCGAUUCUAGUUUAACUCUUCGAAGAACCACCUAACUCUUUUCCACAGUACCUGCACCAAUUUCACAUUUCCACCAGCAAUGUACAAGGGCUUCCGUCUCUCCACAUCUUCACCAACACUUGUUAUUUUCCGUGUUUGGAUUAUAUUCCAGUUGUUGUGAAAUGUUUUCUGUGUCUUCGAUGCGCAUUUCACUAAUGACGAAUGAUGGAGCAUCUUUUCAUGUGCUUUGGAUCAUUUGUUUGUCUUCUUGGGGGAAAUGUCUCUUCGAGUCCUUUGUCCAUUUUUUAAUUGGAUUGUUUAUCUUUGUUGAGUUGUAAGAGCUCUUAAGCUAUUCUAGAUAUUAAAUCCUUAUCAGACAUAUGACCUGCAAAUAUUUUCUCCCAUUCCAUGGGUUGUCUCUUCACUCUCUUGAUAAUAUAGUCUGUUUUUUUUUUAAGCAAUAUCUUCAGUUCUUUUUGGGUGGGGGUAUUUUUUUUUAAAGUAAUCUCUAUACCAGAGUGGGGCUACAAUAUCUCCAAGUCUUAAUGGAAGGAGGAAGUCAUCCUUGGGAAUGAAGAAAAAUGCAAGGAAGAGAUCGUGGGAACAAAGUGGAGACAAACAGUGGAGUUAGAAUACAUGCAUGCCUGCAUGAAACAGCUGUCUCCUUCCCCAGAGCCACAAACUUCUCAGAGGAUCUGAAGCCCUCUCUACUUCAUCUUAUCUAGUUUGCCGGAGAUGAAUGAUAGAAAUUUAGAGCACGUAUUUCAAGAGUCAUAUAAACCUGUGCCAGAAGCCAGGUCAGCCAAGCUUACUAGCUGAGGACCUGAGAGGAGGUAUCUAGUCUGUCUGAGUUCAGUUUCUUCACCCUGGAACAAUUCAGUGAGAUAAUAUAAAGAAGGCAUUUAGUGUACCUGGCACACAGUAGGAACUCAGUAAAGGGUAGCUGUGAAUACCAUUGUGUUACAUCACCGUCUAGCCCUGAGUCUUUCUGGCACCUUCUUAGCUCUCCAUUUGACCUAGAAGACUGCAACUGAUCUUUGUGCCCGACAGCUGCCUUGAACACCUCCCUUCUCUGUUGGUUGUUUACGUCACUCACUUUGUCAGGUUGGAGCUUUAGUACUUACCUUUGAAGUACCUACGUGUAUUUUCAUAUUCUGGUGCCCCUUAUGUUCUGCUUAUUACUUUCCGGGGGAUGUGAGGGUUAGGGGGUGAGUCUGUUUGCUGUCUUUCUUUUUGUACAUUUUCCCAGAUUUCCUGAAGAACAGAAAGGGUGGAGUCCUGCAUACUUUGCUUUGUUACCUGUAGGAUUUGGCUCCUAAUUAAAAUGAAGGCAUUGAGUGUCAAAGGGCUAGGCAGUGUUCUAUAUGGAACUCAGAUUAUGAAUGAGAACAAGUAUGUAAAAAUUAGAGUUCAAGGCAGAAAAUGAUUAGUAGUAUGAAAAAGACACAAGCAAAAUGUUAUAGGCUUAUACAAGGAAAUAUUUAUAUAUGGUCAAAUGAUUCAUAAACGGCUUCAUGGAGGGGGUGCCUGCCCGGCUCAGUCAGUAGAGCGUGUGUGUUGAUCUCGGGGUUGUGAGUUUGAGCCCCACAUUGGGUGGAGAGAUUACUUAAAACAAAAUCUUAAAAAAAAAAAAGUCUUCAUGGAAAAGGAAGAAGUUGAAAGAGUAAGAUAGAUUGGUUUUCACUGAGAGGAUACAAGAUUAGUGCUCCAAGUAUAAGGAGGAAUAUCAGCAAAGACCCAAACGUAGAGUGUUACACAUGUUUUCUUACUUACUCCACCAACCAGUCUAUAGCAGGGCCUCUACCCUGUGCCCAUCCCUGGGAUCCAGACAUGUUUAGGUUUAAAUAUAUAUCGAAGGGUCUGGAUGUGUUGUCCUGUUCUCUUUGAGCUUUUCUUUAAUAUUUUCACUCUCUUUUAUCUCCUUGAGCUGCAUUCUGGAAGAUAUACUUUGUUUGACCCUUUGGUUCACUCACCCCCUCUUUAGGCAUGAAGAACCUGCAAUGGAGCUCAUCUACUGGAUAUUUUCUCUCCGUAACCGUGUCUUUCAUUUUAAUAUUUCUAGUUGAUUCUAAUUCUAGCAUGUUCUUGUUUCAAACUCUCUUGUUUUAUGGCUUUUUUACUUCUACCUAAACUUAUUUCUUGGAGGAGUUUGAGAAUAUCAUCCCUGGGGAAUUCCCCUUGCCCCCAGCGCUCAUAGGUACUGAACAAUACCUGUUUAUGAAUGGAUCAAAUUGAAAUAAAUGUCCCAAGAGCUAGAAGCUUCGUAGGGAGGGAGAACCAGGAACACGCCUCUCUCUUUCCACUUUCCAUCUUCUCAAAUAGCUACUAGAAAUUAUAUUCCUCUAGACAGUUGCUGGGAAGUCACUUCCCUUUUUCCUCCUCCCUUCGCCUUAAUAGAAAAUGCAGAGGACACAUCAACCAAGAACUGUUUGUCAUGAUCAAAAGUUUGUGAUGAAAUAUCAUCACAAAGCAGACCAAGACAACAAACCCACAAACCCACCGUGGCCAAGACUCUGGGCAUCCACAGGCUGUCAGUUGGAAGCUUAAUUAAGCAGUGGCACAAACCAGUAACAAGAAGUGAGUGUAAACUCCAUCUUUAACAUUUGAAAUCUGAGAUCAGUAAUCAGGUUAACGUUGUAAUUUGGAUUUAGAGGAGAUUUUAGCUUAAUAAUUCUAGUUUGAAACCUGAGCUUUGCUGGGAGGGCUAAGGAUGAGGAAUUGAGUUUCUUUAGGCCACAUUGAGAAGCCUUGAGUUUCUGUUUGAUUGCUGUUCCAUGUGGAAAAAAACAAGAUACGAAAGAGCCGGUUCUGAUGAGGAACAAAAUUCUGAUGAGGUGGGGAGAACAUUUAGGCCUGCUAAUGUGGGAGCAUCCUAUUAGAGGCCAGUGUCACAAAAAAAUAAGACCAACUGUUGCUCUGAUAAUUUCAUCAUUGCUAAUUAUAUAUUCCAUUUCUCCUUAUGCCCCAAAUGAUAUUUUACCUCGUAAAGUUUGUUUGUCUUCAGGUUGGAGUUGUUCCUUCUUUCAGAGAUAGGAUGUUUUGAAAUGAUCGUUGGUAAACUGGAACUUUGUCUGACAAGUUGAUAACACCAUGGAGUGAAUGGGAAGCCUCCAGAUGGUCCGUCUGCUUAGAGUUUCAUAGGUCACAUACUGUGUGAGGAACUCCCUCCUGCAGUCCUGCGUUUUGCUAACCAUAAACGGGUAGGUGUUAAAUGACAGUCUUAGGUCGUUUGUUUUCGUGUGUGUCCUUUGGAGGAAUCGUUCUAUCAAGAUGUCAUGGCAGGAAAAAAUAAACCUUCCUUUCUGUCAUCACCAGAAUCACUUUCAAGCUCUGUUCGCUGGAAAACCUAUUUUACAAGUAGACUUUCAUAGUGUUUUGGUGAAACCUUUUAUCCCAAAUGAAUCAGCAAAAACAUUUUCUAGAUCUUGUUAGCCCCACAAAUCAAAGCUGCUAAUGCUGUUCCAAAAUGACAUUUUGUUACGGAAGUCCUUGGACAGUAAAAAUGACGGAUGCAUGUUAAGUAUAGUUACAGUUUUCAUCAAUGUAAGUGAACCGUUGUGCUAUAUACACCUUACAUACCAGGUUAGAGCACAGCUUUUCAAAAACUGAUUUUGAAACCUGAUCACGUCAAAUAUACUCACUCCCCAAAUCUCUGCUUCUACCCCGUGAAACAAAUUGCUUCAUUAAAACCUGGUUGUUUCUAAACCUAACAAAUCCCCUUGUUGUACAUGGGCUCUAAAUAGUUAGUGUGUUUUAGAAUUUUCAAAAGUGAUCCUAGCACGAAUUUCAGUGUUCUGAGUACAUUGGACGAGGGGUGUUUCGUGGUUUGGCUCACUUGCGAGAAAGAAGCCCAGCGUUUGUUGAGUGCCUACUGUGAGCCAGACGCUGUGCUGUCUUUAGAUAUGUCCUCUUGUUUCAGCUGUCGAACAGCCAUGUGCCAUAGCUGUCAGUCAUGUCGCCAUUUUACAGAUGAGAACACCAAGGAUCAGAGAAGUCGAGUGAUAUUCCCAAGGCCAGUAAGUGGAAGACCAGGAAUUAAACCCAAAUUGUCUGGUGUUCUCCCCACGGUGCCACCCGCAGAAAGGAAGGGUGUGGACAGACAGGCCCACUAGCUGGCACUGGGGGGCAGGUGGGUCAGCCUGGCUCUGAGCUCACGGCACAAAGCCCUUCCCAAAGAACAGCUCGUGGGCAGGCUGGCCAGCCCAGGAGCAGGCUUUCCUCUCAAUUUUUGGUUCUUGUAUAAAAGUGUUCACAUCAGGGUUUCAGGAACAGAGGGUCGGGGCCAGCACAUUGCUCAUGCAUUUUCUUUAAACCAAUAGCAACCUGGCAACUGUAUUUUCCAAGUCUGGCUAGACAGAUCAUUCUAUUUUGCUUUGUUACUUGCAAGGGAGUAUCCUGCCCUUUCACAGACUCGGUGCUGGGUGGCAGGCUACAUUUAUAGAGUGUUCUGGAUAAUGAGGUCAGGCAAACAUUUGAAGAGACAGUUCACAGACUACAGGGACACCACUGUCUUUUUCCAGGGCAAUCUGGGAAAAGAAAUUGGAUGCUGGACCAGACAACGUCUGCGGUUCCCUCUGAGUUGGUGAAGCGCGCCAGCGCCUGGCUAGCGGGGACGCAGCUGAAGAAAGAACUGUAACGAGGGGAAGGAGUUGAAGACCACGAAGGUGAAAGAGGUGACCAGUCGCCUCUCUGAAAUCACAGCCGCAAUCUUGUCAGCCCUCAGUCUGUGGAUUGUCUGAAGAUGACAGGAGUGCCUUCAAAUAGCCGUGUGUCCUCAGGUUUUCUUCAUUACCUGGAGCAUCAGGGCCCCUCUUUACAGUGAGUGCUCUGCACACCCCAUUUGAAGGCUGUUGUCAGAAACAAGACUGCAGAAUGGUACUCAAGUGAUUCUGCCGCCCCCACCCCCAUGUAGCCUUCCUUGAUCUCUCCCUGGUCCCAUGUCAUGCUGACACAGCCCUUCCAUCCACCCCAGUAUUCCCACUCAGCCCGGCCUAGGUCUCCCUAAUCUUGUUUGGGUAAGGCUGUGUCCAUUUCUGGGAUUUGUCCUUAAUUAAGCAAUGUCUUGCCUCUUCUAGGUUUUCUGCUGGGCCUGUUCUUUCAAAAAAUGUCCCCUCUUCAGAAAGCUACUUAUAUGGCCACUUUUUUUUUUUCUUUAGAACUAUCAAGAAAAUUGCUCGUAUUUUCAUUGUGCUCACUUGCAAAUUUUAUUUUUAGUAUUUUCAUUUUUAGAACAUCCCAUCCCUGUUGAACAUAUUAUUCUCUUUGGGGGUGUGUAGCCGUAGACUCCUAUCUGUCUUCCCUGUGGACUUAAAAACAAUUGUAUUUGAGCAUAGUUGACCCACAGCACGACACUAGUUUCAGGUGUACAACAGUGAUGCAACAACUGUGUGCGUUGUGCUGCGCGCACAUGUGUAAACUCCAUCUGUCACUUCACGAUGCUAUUAAGAACUCUUAAAAUUUGUUUUCCUAGAGUGGAAAUAGAUUUGCUCAUUCAUCCAGUUAAUAUUUAUCGAGCAUCUACUGUGCAACAGGCACGGAGAUCACUGAAUAAGCGGAUCCACACCCUCAUGGCGCUCACAAUCCAGUGAAGUGCAGAAAGAUGUUUUUAUUAAAGCCUGGGGACAGGACCCAUGGGCAGAAAGAGCUGCCAAGACCAUACCAUGACUUUUCAACCAUUUGUCUAUUGAUUGAGCUCGUGGAUUGUGAUAACAUGAACAAAGCCAGUGACGAAAAGUGUCAGGUUGCAGUACCUUUUCCCAUGAGAGGGAAGACAGAAGCAGAUAAGAAACAAGUGAUGGAUAGAUAGGAAGCUCUCCAAAGAAGAUAAACGGAUGUCCAGUAAGCACAUGAGGAGACGUCCAUCAUCCUCAGCCUUCAGGGAACUGCACAGCCAAACCACAAUGAGAUACCCCUUCACACCCACUGGGACAGCUCUAAUUAAAAAAAAAAAAAAAAAAAAAAAAAGAGGGUCAAAAACAGGCAUUGGCCAGGAUGUGGAGAAAUGAGAACUCCUACACCACCGGUGGGAAUGUAAAACAGGGCCGCCAACUUCAGAAAAUAGUCUGGCCCUUCCGCAGUUCUACUCCUAGAUACGUACCCAAGAGAAAUGUGCACAGCAGCACAAUUCACAAUGGCUGAAGGGUGGAAGCUACCCAAAUGUCCAUCAAUAAUGGAUAAAGAGAACACGGGAUUUCCAUAUAAUGGGAGACUGUCAGCCAGAAAAGAAGUGAAGUAUUGAUGAAUGCUACUGCGUGGAUGAAUCUAGAAAUAUUAUGCUUAAAAGGGAAAGAAGUCAGAUGUGAACAUUCACAUAUUGUGUAGGAAAUACCCGGAAUAGGCAAAUCUAGAAGGAUAGAAAGGAGGUUAGUGGUUUCCAGUGGCUGGAGGACUGGGGAAUUGUGGGGUGAGCGCCAAGGAGUGUGGAGUUUCUUUGGGGUAUAAUAAAAAUAUUUUAAAUUGGGUUUUGGUGAUGGGUGUACAGCACAACUUUUGAAUAUAAAAAAUAUAUAAAUUAUAUAUAUACUUUAUAUAUAAAUAUAUAAAA